Molecule: long non-coding RNA, 2129 nt
Organism: Gasterosteus aculeatus aculeatus (three-spined stickleback)
Lineage: Eukaryota; Metazoa; Chordata; Actinopteri; Perciformes; Gasterosteidae
Source: Ensembl
UGUUGGCAAACACAGCGUCUCAAAUACACACUUUCUAUUGAUUACUCCGUGCUUGUAAGAUUUAGUCUUUAGAAGGAGAACACACUUUUACCAACAAUUAAUGAAUUUCAAAAUGUGCGAUUAAUUAUUUAAUGUUUUUUAAUCUAUUGACAGCCCUAGUACAACAUUCUCUGUCCUGGGACCCUCAGACUGGGAUGGGAAAAUGUACUGUAUAUAUACUAUACUAACGGCUAACAUUCAUCUGCUAGCCGUCCCUCUCGCUGUCUCUCGUCAUAUUGGAGAAAAACAGCCAGUUAACAAAGAGUCCGAGAUCGGUUAACAUCGUUAACCGCGGCGCAAGCAACAGCGCAAGGAAUUUCGCUUUGCAAACUUCAUCUUUAACAUUACUAAGGUCUUAGGUCUUUUCUGACAUAAUUUGAGAGGAAUCUGAUUAAUUUGCAAGGAGAAGGGUAUCAAUCAAUUCAAUUUCAGGUUGAUAGUAUACCACCUCGAGGUGUCACUCAGUGAUAAUCAGGACAUUCUGAUUCCGUUCCAAAAUGAAAGCCUCUCAAAAUACCAUGUAUGUACCAUACAUAAGCUAACUUCCUUGAUAUUCUUUCACAAGAUUACUUUUGGUCUAUUUUGAGGUUAUAAAAUCUGCCAUGGCCAUGGUGCUAACCAACGAUUUUAUCCGAUGGACCAGGAUUUUGGUCUGAUGUUUGGUAAUGCUGCUACAAAGUUGCUGGAGAGGUGGCCUACUGUCUACAAGCAGAAAGUCCUGGAACAAAGCUGUGGCCUCACACAGACAGCCGACCUUCAAGAACUGCUUCAAAAUGCUCAAUGCUCAACGGAAGCUGGGACAGUGACACGUCAUCUGUUUUGGUUCUUGUCCACCUUCUACCUUCAUCACCAAAUGGCCGCAAGAGACCAGGAAAACUUUCAGCCAGACAAGCCAGUAACCAUCUCGUGAAAUUUGUUAUGACCGGGACGAGCAUCCAGGAGCAUCUGGACAGCAUCACUAAAAGUCUUCAACCCUACCUGCUAGAUGUGGGGACCCAGAAGAGUCUGAUUCACAAGUACUACAUUGUGAUUGACAAACAUGUAAUACCGUGUAAGUCAGCAGACACACUUUCCAGUUUUGAUGAGCUUUUCAAAGCUCAUUUUGUCUUUGGUACGUCGUACAACCAGGAUCUGGUAAACGUGUACAACUUCUUGCAAACCACAAUUUAUGAAAUGGAUGAUGAUACCACGAAGGUGAAUCCAAGAGUUGCAGAGUUGAGAGCUCGGAUGCUUCAUUACAUUGAUACAAAGCUGGUUGGUCUCAAAAGCCUUGAGGCUUCAUUGAGUUGAAAUUAAGAAGUUGUGUUUUUUUUUGCAAAAGUCUCCAUGCAAAUGCUAAUUCCCUAACAAAACACUUGAAGUUGAUACACAGACUUUGUUCAGGAAAGACCCGUCGUCUUAAAUGUGGUUGGGCUGGUUGUUCAGAAGUUUAUGGCACUUUUUCUGGGUUUCGAAAGCAUCUUAAUAAAAGCACAUGAACAGUGUUCUCAUCCUGGUGAAGGCCCAUCUACAUCUGAUCAUUUAGCCGCAAGUCAUUUUGAUGAAUUGGCAGCAAAAAGUUCACUUUCUGAUUCAGUCCUAAAAAGGAGUCUCGUAGACAGCUGUGCUGCAACAGUAGCCGAACUUAAAGUGGCAGGCGUACAAGAAACCACCAUUAACUCUUUGGUCAUUUCAAUGGGAGAUUAUUGAUGAUAUCCAUAACCCGGCAAACAAAUCUGUGAAGAAGUGUCUGUCUUUACCAGAGCCUAUGAAAAGUGAGAUUGAGAGCAAAAUUGAUUAGUGUUUUGAAAAAAUGGAAAAUCCUUUUGGUGUGUUAAAUUCUGAGAGGAAAAAGAAGCACUUUUUUACACAAAAGUGGGGAGGGGUGUGAUUGCCGAUGUGCUGGUAGUUAUUUGUGAUGGCAUUCUUCUACUGUUGGACAGUACAAUGUUGAGUUAAACAUGAUAUGGAUGUUUUUUUGAUUUAUUGUGAAAUAAACCCCUCUUGUGGUGACGAAGUCCUUCUUUUAUAGUUUAUUCAUUUGUUACUCCCCAGCUGUCCUAGACAUCAGUCGAGGGACGUAACAGUGAAAUCAUGGAGUAAAAAAAAAA